AGGCUCGGCAGCAGAGUUCUUGAUGUGGCUGCAGCACGUGGAAGUUGCUUUUCACUGCAAGGGUUAUCAAGCACUGUAACAGGGAGAGCAGCGAAAAACGACUACACAAAUACGAAAGUAACGGGAAUUGCCACCCAGAAGCCAGAGGAAGCAUCAUCUGCUUCUCCAGGUGCUCUUUGGACAUAAGCUGCUUUCCCAGUGAGAAAGGCAGGAGCCUGAUUCCCGGAGUGAAAUGCACAAGAUGGGCUUUGCUAAAGGAGGAUUUGGACAUCUGGAGCUGGGGCAGGAAUCAGGAGGAUGCCUGACCAAGAAAAGUCCAUUAAUUGGGUGUGAAUACUGAUUGAGGCAGCUCCGGCGCGGCCGCGGCCGCAGCGCAGGAGGAUGGUGCCAUCUAAAGGAGCCCAAGGCA
This is a long non-coding RNA of Colius striatus (speckled mousebird), 409 nucleotides long. RefSeq lists it as uncharacterized. The transcript has 4 exons. The record is from RefSeq and is a predicted model, not a curated record. NCBI's taxonomy places the organism in Eukaryota, Metazoa, Chordata, Aves, Coliiformes, Coliidae.